UACGUAGGGAGCAAGCGUUGUUCGGAUUUACUGGGCGUAAAGGGCGCGUAGGCGGCAAUUCAAGUCAUCUGUGAAAUCUCCGGGCUUAACUCGGAACGGCCAAGUGAAACUGUCAAGCUAGAGUGCAGAAGGGGCAAUCGGAAUUCUUGGUGUAGCGGUGAAAUGCGUAGAUAUCAAGAGGAACACCUGAGGUGAAGACGGGUUGCUGGGCUGACACUGACGCUGAGGCGCGAAAGCCAGGGGAGCAAACGGG
Molecule: ribosomal RNA, 253 nt
Filed under: uncultured bacterium
Lineage: Bacteria
Description: partial 16S ribosomal RNA
Rfam family: Bacterial small subunit ribosomal RNA
Source: RNAcentral